RNAcentral lists this unclassified non-coding RNA (430 nucleotides) under soil metagenome. Its description in RNAcentral is "partial contains 5.8S ribosomal RNA, internal transcribed spacer 2, and large subunit ribosomal RNA". The stretch from base 1 to 120 matches the Rfam family "5.8S ribosomal RNA", at positions 35 to 154 of the family's 154-position model. The record is from RNAcentral.
GAUGAAGAACGUAGCGAAAUGCGAUACGUAAUGUGAAUUGCAGAAUUCAGUGAAUCAUCGAAUCUUUGAACGCAUAUUGCGCUCUCUGGUAUUCCGGAGAGCAUGCUUGUUUGAGUAUCAGUAAACACCUCAACUCCCUUUUCUUUUUUGAAAUUGGAGCUGGACUUGAGUGAUCCCAACGCUUUCUUCCAAGAAAGUGGCGGGUUGCUUGAAAUGCAGGUGCAGCUGAACUUCUCUCUGAGCUAUAAGCAUAUCUAUUUAGUCUGCCUAAAAAACAGAUUAUUACCUUUGCUGCAGCUAACAUAAAGGAGACUAGUUCUUGUGCUGACUGAUGCAGGAUUCACAGAGACAGCUUCGGCUGACUUUGUAAACUCGAUCUCAAAUCAAGUAAGACUACCCGCUGAACUUAAGCAUAUCAAUAAGCGGAGGA